AUAAAGUGGCGAACGGCUGAGUAACACGUGGGCAACCUGCCCUUUGCACUGGGAUAGCCUCGGGAAACCGAGGUUAAUACCGGAUACUCCAUAUUUGUCGCAUGGCGAAUAUGGGAAAGCUCCGGCGGCAAAGGAUGGGCCCGCGGCCUGUUAGCUAGUUGGUGGGGUAGUGGCCUACCAAGGCAAUGAUGGGUAGCCGGGUUGAGAGACCGACCGGCCAGAUUGGGACUGAGACACGGCCCAGACUCCUACGGGAGCAGCAGUA
This 265-nucleotide ribosomal RNA is filed under the name uncultured Atopobium sp. Its description in RNAcentral is "partial 16S ribosomal RNA". It matches the Rfam family "Bacterial small subunit ribosomal RNA", at positions 90 to 355 of the family's 1533-position model. The record is from RNAcentral. Lineage: Bacteria; Bacillati; Actinomycetota; Coriobacteriia; Coriobacteriales; Atopobiaceae.